RNAcentral lists this ribosomal RNA (618 nucleotides) under Lactiplantibacillus pentosus. Its description in RNAcentral is "bacterial SSU rRNA". It matches the Rfam family "Bacterial small subunit ribosomal RNA", at positions 61 to 645 of the family's 1533-position model. Lineage: Bacteria; Bacillati; Bacillota; Bacilli; Lactobacillales; Lactobacillaceae. The record is from RNAcentral.
GUCGACGAACUCUGGUAUUGAUUGGUGCUUGCAUCAUGAUUUACAUUUGAGUGAGUGGCGAACUGGUGAGUAACACGUGGGAAACCUGCCCAGAAGCGGGGGAUAACACCUGGAAACAGAUGCUAAUACCGCAUAACAACUUGGACCGCAUGGUCCGAGUUUGAAAGAUGGCUUCGGCUAUCACUUUUGGAUGGUCCCGCGGCGUAUUAGCUAGAUGGUGGGGUAACGGCUCACCAUGGCAAUGAUACGUAGCCGACCUGAGAGGGUAAUCGGCCACAUUGGGACUGAGACACGGCCCAAACUCCUACGGGAGGCAGCAGUAGGGAAUCUUCCACAAUGGACGAAAGUCUGAUGGAGCAACGCCGCGUGAGUGAAGAAGGGUUUCGGCUCGUAAAACUCUGUUGUUAAAGAAGAACAUAUCUGAGAGUAACUGUUCAGGUAUUGACGGUAUUUAACCAGAAAGCCACGGCUAACUACGUGCCAGCAGCCGCGGUAAUACGUAGGUGGCAAGCGUUGUCCGGAUUUAUUGGGCGUAAAGCGAGCGCAGGCGGUUUUUUAAGUCUGAUGUGAAAGCCUUCGGCUCAACCGAAGAAGUGCAUCGGAAACUGGGAAACUUGA